UCCUCGGUAGCGCAAUUGGUACAGAAUCUGCCUGCAAUGCAGGAGACCCAGGUUCGAUUCCUGGGUCAGGAA
This 72-nucleotide transfer RNA is filed under the name Ovis aries (sheep). It matches the Rfam family "tRNA". From Rfam's summary of the family: Transfer RNA (tRNA) molecules are approximately 80 nucleotides in length. Their secondary structure includes four short double-helical elements and three loops (D, anti-codon, and T loops). Lineage: Eukaryota; Metazoa; Chordata; Mammalia; Artiodactyla; Bovidae. The record is from Rfam by way of RNAcentral.